This 496-nucleotide ribosomal RNA is filed under the name uncultured bacterium. Its description in RNAcentral is "partial 16S ribosomal RNA". It matches the Rfam family "Bacterial small subunit ribosomal RNA", at positions 29 to 507 of the family's 1533-position model. The record is from RNAcentral.
AUGAACGCUGGCGGCGUGCCUAAUACAUGCAAGUCGCGCGAACGGACGAGAAGCUUGCUUCUCUGAUGUUAGCGGCGGACGGGUGAGUAACACGUGGAUAACCUACCUAUAAGACUGGGAUAACUUCGGGAAACCGGAGCUAAUACCGGAUGAUAUUUUGAACCGCAUGGUUCAAAAGUGAAAGACGGUCUUGCUGUCACUUAUAGAUGGAUCCGCGCUGCAUUAGCUAGUUGGUAAGGUAACGGCUUACCAAGGCAACGAUGCAUAGCCGACCUGAGAGGGUGAUCGGCCACACUAGAACUGAGACACGGUCAAGACUCCUACGGGAGGCAGCAGUAGGGAAUAUUCCGCAAUGGGCGAAAGCCUGACGGAGCAACGCCGCGUGAGUGAUGAAGGUCUUCGGAUCGUAAAACUCUGUUAUUAGGGAAGAACAUAUGUGUAAGUAACUGUGCACAUCUUGACGGUACCUAGUCAGAAAGCCACGGCUAACUACGUG